RNAcentral lists this ribosomal RNA (705 nucleotides) under uncultured bacterium. RNAcentral's name for it is "bacterial SSU rRNA". It matches the Rfam family "Bacterial small subunit ribosomal RNA", at positions 8 to 704 of the family's 1533-position model. The record is from RNAcentral.
AGAGUUUGAUCCUGGCUCAGGAUGAACGCUAGCGGCAGGCUUAAUACAUGCAAGUCGAGGGGCAGCAGCUUUAUAGCAAUAUAGAGGCUGGCGACCGGCAAACGGGUGCGGAACACGUACACAACCUUCCUUGAAUAGGGGGAUAGCCCAUAGAAAUGUGGAUUAAUACCCCGUAAUAUAGCGGUGUGGCAUCACACUGUUAUUAUAGUUUCGGCGAUUCGAGAUGGGUGUGCGGCUGAUUACCUAGUUGGCGGGGUAAAGGCCCACCAAGCCUUCGAUCAGUAGCUGAUGUGAGAGCAUGAUCAGCCACACGGGCACUGAGACACGGGCCCGACUCCUACGGGAGGCAGCAGUAAGGAAUAUUGGUCAAUGGACGCAAGUCUGAACCAGCCAUGCCGCGUGAAGGAUGAAGGUCCUCUGGAUUGUAAACUUCUUUUAUAGGGGGCGAAAAAAGGUCUUUCUAGAUCACUUGACAGUACCCUAUGAAUAAGCACCGGCUAACUCCGUGCCAGCAGCCGCGGUAAUACGGAGGGUGCAAGCGUUAUCCGGAUUCACUGGGUUUAAAGGGUGCGUAGGCGGGUAGGUAAGUCAGAGGUGAAAUCCUGGAGCUUAACUCCAGAACUGCCUUUGAUACUAUCUAUCUUGAAUAUGGUGGAGGUAAGCGGAAUAUGUCAUGUAGCGGUGAAAUGCAUAGAUAUGACAUAG